RNAcentral lists this ribosomal RNA (228 nucleotides) under uncultured eukaryote. Its description in RNAcentral is "partial 18S ribosomal RNA". It matches the Rfam family "Eukaryotic small subunit ribosomal RNA", at positions 1208 to 1456 of the family's 1831-position model. The record is from RNAcentral.
AGAAAUCUCACCAGGCCCGGACACUGGAAGGAUUGACAGAUUGAUAGCUCUUCCUUGAUUCGGUGGGUGGUGGUGCAUGGCUGUUCUUAGUUGGUUGAGUGAUUUGUCUGGUUAAUUCCGUUAACGAACGAGACCUUAACCUGCUAAAUAGUGACGCGGUUCAUCGAACCGUGGGCCACUUCUUAGAGGGACUAUCGGAUUCAAACCGAUGGAAGUGUGAGGCAAUAA